This 73-nucleotide transfer RNA is filed under the name Nippostrongylus brasiliensis. It matches the Rfam family "tRNA". From Rfam's summary of the family: Transfer RNA (tRNA) molecules are approximately 80 nucleotides in length. Their secondary structure includes four short double-helical elements and three loops (D, anti-codon, and T loops). The record is from Rfam by way of RNAcentral. Lineage: Eukaryota; Metazoa; Nematoda; Chromadorea; Rhabditida; Heligmosomidae.
GCCUCGAUAGCGCAGCUUGGAGAGCUUCAGACUGAAGAUCCGAAGGUCACCAGUUAGAUCCUGGUUCGGGAUU